AAAAGAACUUUCCAGGGGAUUUUUCUAUACACCACAAAUGCAACAAAAGGAAGGGGUCCCACGUGUUUUUUUUCCUUUUUUUCCAAUUGAUAAAGAGAUAACAUUGAAAGGGGAGGCCCACACACAAUACCUCACACCAGAACACAUGUCAUUUAUAUAUACACAUUCUCUUCCAUAUAGGCUCCAUCAUCAAUAUACUCAAAAAGCAGACACAAAAGCUUUCUUCUUCAUUGGAAAAUAGAUAAAAGAAAAACCCCCACGCCAUUGAUAGAUGCUGGCCAUUUUUUGGCUUCUUCUCCGUAAUACCCAUCACAAAAAGAAACACUCAUAUCGUCACACACAGAAUAUAUAAAAGGAGCACAAUUUUCACGGGUGGGUCACGGUUUCAUCGACGUUCAGCUAGAGAUAAGCUUUUCCGACGAUCGGAGCUCUGGUUAUCAGAAGUGGCGACCUUGCUCUAAUUCCGUCACUACCCAUUUAAGCUUAAGUUAAAAUCUGCGAUUUAAGUUCGGGUUCAGGUUUUCGAUCAGAUUUUAGAUCUAUUCGAGGUUGAAUUCAACUGGAAUUGGGAGGUUCGAUGUUCUGAGAUCGGUUCGAGGCAUUCCGGUUAGAGCUCUAAUCAAAAUACUUCAACAGAUUGAAAUAAAAAAUUGAGGAAUGAAUGUCGUUGAACGUGAUAGAAUUACGAUAUGUUGAAAUUGAUUGGCAAACAUAGGUCAGGUAGGCGAAUUUAGGGACUGUGGAUUGAUGGGAUAUUUGAACUGUGUGAUUGAAUAGUUUUUGGCUUUAUCGCUUUGGGGUCACUUGUAUCAUUUGGCCGGGGAAUGCCCCGAAGUACUUGUAUUAUUUUAUUCGGGAAAUAUCUCGAAAUAUUUUGUACUCGAAGGACGUUCGUGAUGAAGGCCCAAGGCAUUGGGUGAGACAUUGGAGCUUAGUCUAGGAUUAGUUUAGAAUAAAAUUUAUAUUUUUUGUAUUUUUCUAUUUUUGGAACUGUAUAACUCAAAUUGGACACUAUUUUUGAUUCGUUUUGUUUUG
Long non-coding RNA from Capsicum annuum, 1035 nucleotides. RefSeq lists it as uncharacterized. The record is from RefSeq and is a predicted model, not a curated record. NCBI's taxonomy places the organism in Eukaryota, Viridiplantae, Streptophyta, Magnoliopsida, Solanales, Solanaceae. The transcript has 2 exons.